UUAAGCGACUAAGCGUACACGGUGGAUGCCCUGGCAGUCAGAGGCGAUGAAGGACGUGCUAAUCUGCGAUAAGCGUCGGUAAGGUGAUAUGAACCGUUAUAACCGGCGAUUUCCGAAUGGGGAAACCCAGUGUGUUUCGACACACUAUCAUUAACUGAAUCCAUAGGUUAAUGAGGCGAACCGGGGGAACUGAAACAUCUAAGUACCCCGAGGAAAAGAAAUCAACCGAGAUUCCCCCAGUAGCGGCGAGCGAACGGGGAGCAGCCCAGAGCCUGAAUCAGUGUGUGUGUUAGUGGAAGCGUCUGGAAAGGCGCGCGAUACAGGGUGACAGCCCCGUACACAAAAAUGCACAUGCUGUGAGCUCGAUGAGUAGGGCGGGACACGUGGUAUCCUGUCUGAAUAUGGGGGGACCAUCCUCCAAGGCUAAAUACUCCUGACUGACCGAUAGUGAACCAGUACCGUGAGGGAAAGGCGAAAAGAACCCCGGCGAGGGGAGUGAAAAAGAACCUGAAACCGUGUACGUACAAGCAGUGGGAGCACGCUUAGGCGUGUGACUGCGUACCUUUUGUAUAAUGGGUCAGCGACUUAUAUUCUGUAGCAAGGUUAACCGAAUAGGGGAGCCGAAGGGAAACCGAGUCUUAACUGGGCGUUAAGUUGCAGGGUAUAGACCCGAAACCCGGUGAUCUAGCCAUGGGCAGGUUGAAGGUUGGGUAACACUAACUGGAGGACCGAACCGACUAAUGUUGAAAAAUUAGCGGAUGACUUGUGGCUGGGGGUGAAAGGCCAAUCAAACCGGGAGAUAGCUGGUUCUCCCCGAAAGCUAUUUAGGUAGCGCCUCGUGAAUUCAUCUCCGGGGGUAGAGCACUGUUUCGGCAAGGGGGUCAUCCCGACUUACCAACCCGAUGCAAACUGCGAAUACCGGAGAAUGUUAUCACGGGAGACACACGGCGGGUGCUAACGUCCGUCGUGAAGAGGGAAACAACCCAGACCGCCAGCUAAGGUCCCAAAGUCAUGGUUAAGUGGGAAACGAUGUGGGAAGGCCCAGACAGCCAGGAUGUUGGCUUAGAAGCAGCCAUCAUUUAAAGAAAGCGUAAUAGCUCACUGGUCGAGUCGGCCUGCGCGGAAGAUGUAACGGGGCUAAACCAUGCACCGAAGCUGCGGCAGCGACGCUAUGCGUUGUUGGGUAGGGGAGCGUUCUGUAAGCCUGUGAAGGUGUACUGUGAGGUAUGCUGGAGGUAUCAGAAGUGCGAAUGCUGACAUAAGUAACGAUAAAGCGGGUGAAAAGCCCGCUCGCCGGAAGACCAAGGGUUCCUGUCCAACGUUAAUCGGGGCAGGGUGAGUCGACCCCUAAGGCGAGGCCGAAAGGCGUAGUCGAUGGGAAACAGGUUAAUAUUCCUGUACUUGGUGUUACUGCGAAGGGGGGACGGAGAAGGCUAUGUUGGCCGGGCGACGGUUGUCCCGGUUUAAGCGUGUAGGCUGGUUUUCCAGGCAAAUCCGGAAAAUCAAGGCUGAGGCGUGAUGACGAGGCACUACGGUGCUGAAGCAACAAAUGCCCUGCUUCCAGGAAAAGCCUCUAAGCAUCAGGUAACAUCAAAUCGUACCCCAAACCGACACAGGUGGUCAGGUAGAGAAUACCAAGGCGCUUGAGAGAACUCGGGUGAAGGAACUAGGCAAAAUGGUGCCGUAACUUCGGGA
Molecule: ribosomal RNA, 1695 nt
Filed under: Escherichia coli 1-176-05_S4_C2
Lineage: Bacteria; Pseudomonadati; Pseudomonadota; Gammaproteobacteria; Enterobacterales; Enterobacteriaceae
Description: bacterial LSU rRNA
Rfam family: Bacterial large subunit ribosomal RNA
Source: RNAcentral